Molecule: ribosomal RNA, 465 nt
Filed under: uncultured bacterium
Lineage: Bacteria
Description: bacterial SSU rRNA
Rfam family: Bacterial small subunit ribosomal RNA
Source: RNAcentral
CCUACGGGACGCACCAGUGGGGAAUAUUGCACAACGGGCGCAAGCCUGAUGCAGCCAUGCCGCGUGUAUGAAGAAGGCCUUAGGGUUGUAAAGUACCUUCAGUUGGGAGGGAGGCGUUGAUGCUAAUAUCAUCAACGAUUGACGUUAUCAACAGAAGAAGCACCGGCUAACUCCGUGCCAGCAGCCGCGGUAAUACGGAGGGUGCAAGCGUUAAUCGGAAUUACUGGGCGUAAAGCGCACGCAGGCGGUUGAUUAAGUUAGAUGUGAAAUCCCCGGGCUUAACCUGGGAAUGGCAUCUAAGACUGGUCAGCUAGAGUCUUGUAGAGGGGGGUAGAAUUCCAUGUGUAGCGGUGAAAUGCGUAGAGAUGUGGAGGAAUACAGGUGGCGGAGGCGGCCCCCUGGACAAAGACUGACGCUCAGGUGCGAAAGCGUGGGGAGCAAACAGGAUUAGAUACCCGUGUAGUC